Molecule: ribosomal RNA, 444 nt
Filed under: uncultured Sphingobacteriales bacterium
Lineage: Bacteria; Pseudomonadati; Bacteroidota; Sphingobacteriia; Sphingobacteriales
Description: bacterial SSU rRNA
Rfam family: Bacterial small subunit ribosomal RNA
Source: RNAcentral
AGGAACAUGUGGUUUAAUUCGAUGAUACGCGAGGAACCUUACCUGGCUUAAAUGGGAGUGACAGCUGUCGAAAGAUGGUUUUCUUCGGACACUCUUCAAGGUGCUGCAUGGUUGUCGUCAGCUCGUGCCGUGAGGUGUCGGGUUAAGUCCCAUAACGAGCGCAACCCUUACCGUUAGUUACCAUCAGGUUAAGCUGGGGACUCUAGCGGGACUGCCACCGUAAGGUGAGAGGAAGUGGGGAUGACGUCAAAUCAGCACGGCCCUUAUGUCCAGGGCUACACACGUGUUACAAUGGCCAGUACAAAGGGCAGCUACCGGGUGACCGGAUGCUAAUCUCUAAAGCUGGUCUCAGUUCGGAUCGAAGUCUGCAACCCGACUUCGUGAAGCUGGAUUCGCUAGUAAUCGCGCAUCAGCCAUGGCGCGGUGAAUACGUUCCCGGGCCUU